GUAGGGGGCAAGCGUUGUCCGGAAUUAUUGGGCGUAAAGCGCGCGCAGGCGGUCUCUUAAGUCCGAUGUGAAAGCCCACGGCUCAACCGUGGAGGGUCAUUGGAAACUGGGGGACUUGAGUGUAGGAGAGGAAAGUGGAAUUCCACGUGUAGCGGUGAAAUGCGUAGAUAUGUGGAGGAACACCAGUGGCGAAGGCGACUUUCUGGCCUACAACUGACGCUGAGGUGCGAAAGCGUGGGGGAGCAAACAGGAUUAGAUACCCUGGUAGUCCACGCCGUAAACGAUGAGUGCUAGGUGUUAGGGGUUUCGAUGCCCUUAGUGCCGAAGUUAACACAUUAAGCACUCCGCCUGGGAGUACGACCGCAAAGGUUG
RNAcentral lists this ribosomal RNA (372 nucleotides) under uncultured organism. RNAcentral's name for it is "partial 16S ribosomal RNA". It matches the Rfam family "Bacterial small subunit ribosomal RNA", at positions 527 to 896 of the family's 1533-position model. The record is from RNAcentral.